GUGCUUGAUUCAGAAGUGCAUAUACUAAAAUUGCAACCAUACAGAGAAGAUUAGCAUGGUCCCUGCGAAAGGAUGACACGCAAAUUCGUGAAGUGUUCCAUAUUAAG
Molecule: small nuclear RNA, 107 nt
Filed under: Sciurus vulgaris (Eurasian red squirrel)
Lineage: Eukaryota; Metazoa; Chordata; Mammalia; Rodentia; Sciuridae
Source: RNAcentral